GAGUUUGAUCCUGGCUCAGAGCGAACGCUGGCGGCAGGCUUAACACAUGCAAGUCGAACGGGCACUUCGGUGCUAGUGGCAGACGGGUGAGUAACACGUGGGAACGUACCUUUCGGUUCGGAAUAAUCCAGGGAAACUUGGACUAAUACCGGAUACGCCCUUCGGGGGAAAGAUUUAUCGCCGAUAGAUCGGCCCGCGUCUGAUUAGCUAGUUGGUGAGGUAAAGGCUCACCAAGGCGACGAUCAGUAGCUGGUCUGAGAGGAUGAUCAGCCACAUUGGGACUGAGACACGGCCCAAACUCCUACGGGAGGCAGCAGUGGGGAAUAUUGGACAAUGGGCGCAAGCCUGAUCCAGCCAUGCCGCGUGAGUGAUGAAGGCCUUAGGGUUGUAAAGCUCUUUUGUCCGGGAAGAUAAUGACUGUACCGGAAGAAUAAGCCCCGGCUAA
RNAcentral lists this ribosomal RNA (445 nucleotides) under Allobosea thiooxidans. RNAcentral describes it as "bacterial SSU rRNA". It matches the Rfam family "Bacterial small subunit ribosomal RNA", at positions 9 to 500 of the family's 1533-position model. The record is from RNAcentral. Lineage: Bacteria; Pseudomonadati; Pseudomonadota; Alphaproteobacteria; Hyphomicrobiales; Alloboseaceae.